This is a long non-coding RNA of Pezoporus occidentalis (night parrot), 956 nucleotides long. RefSeq lists it as uncharacterized. The transcript is spliced from 2 exons. NCBI's taxonomy places the organism in Eukaryota, Metazoa, Chordata, Aves, Psittaciformes, Psittacidae. The record is from RefSeq and is a predicted model, not a curated record.
UUUUUUUUUUUAUUUGUAUUGGUUAUGUUUGCGGCUAUCCAUGCUGAAGCUCCUGAAUUCAAAGAAAUGUGUUAAGGUAGUUAUGGACUUGUUAACUCUGUGUGCCAGAUUAAAAAAAAACUGGUUAUCAGCCACUGCCAGCUACAGACAUGGACCCAGUGCAGGAAAGAAUAACUGCUACACAGAAAGGACCUUUGCACCUUUAUUGGUAUCAGUAGCAAGCUUCUAGCAACCCAAUUUACAUAUAGUAAAAGUAAAUGUAACAUUUUGCACCAGGUAUACAUGGUACAGAUAUAGUAAAUUUUGUACUCCAGUGUUAUGUGACUGCUAGUGUUUUUUAAAUCCACAUGCUGUUAUCCUAUGCCUUUUAAAGAGCAAUAGAAAAAAUAAAAAUUAACAAGAACUACUGGUACUCUGAAUGGCUUAUUUCAAAGUGGUUUGUGUUUAAGCAGGUGAUCUAAUUGACCCACCUGCAGAUAUUUGGAUGUAUAGAAGCCACCACAGUACUGCUAUCCUGUGCUGUUGAUGAACUGGGUAUCUUUUCAGCAAUAGCUCUCCUGGAUUCCUCACUGGAAAUGAUGCACAUAAUCCUAUAGACUAUGAGUACUAUGGUGGGGGUUGCACUCUAAAUAAAAUUCUCCUGGUAGCUUGUUUGUGCCUCUGCUGCUUUCUCCUGUUACUAUUCAUAUGGGAAGCUGGCAUAACUUCAGAUUAAGCAACUGACACUUCAUAACUGGCAUCAUGUGCAGUAUUCACAUUCCAUUUAAAAUGAUUUUGAGAGAGGAUUUAUUUGCAUAAUCUCCUCCAAAUAGGAUUGCACAUAAUUUUAAGAUACUAUUACUAUUUUUGAAACUCAUACACUGUCUAAGGAAAACUAACUGCAGCUCAUACUCAAAAUUCAGAGACUUUUGUCUCAGACUUUUCAGGGUAUUGAAGUUUUUACUGGUUAUGAGAAA